Molecule: transfer RNA, 494 nt
Filed under: Pseudomonas syringae pv. syringae
Lineage: Bacteria; Pseudomonadati; Pseudomonadota; Gammaproteobacteria; Pseudomonadales; Pseudomonadaceae
Description: partial 16S-23S ribosomal RNA
Rfam family: tRNA (bases 20-93)
Source: RNAcentral
AGAGGCAGCGCCCGACUUCGGGUCUGUAGCUCAGUUGGUUAGAGCGCACCCCUGAUAAGGGUGAGGUCGGCAGUUCGAAUCUGCCCAGACCCACCAGUUUACUGGGGAGAUAGCUGGUCAGAGUAGACGCCUCCACGGUAUGUAGAAAUACGGGGCCAUAGCUCAGCUGGGAGAGCGCCUGCCUUGCACGCAGGAGGUCAGCGGUUCGAUCCCGCUUGGCUCCACCACUUACUGCUUCUGUUUGAAAGCUUAGAAAUGAGCAUUCCACCCUGCAAAACAAAGGGUGCGUGAAUGUUGAUUUCUAGUCUUUGAUUAGAUCGUUCUUUAAAAAUUUGGGUAUGUGAUAGAAAGAAAUAUAGACCGGGCACCUCUUUCACUGGUGUGUGUCCGGGCUAAGGUAAAGUUUGUGAAUGCAAACUUUCGGCGAAUGUCGUCUUCACAGUAUAACCAGAUUGCUUGGGGGUUAUAUUGUCAAGGGAAGAAGGCGGCAUGAC